RNAcentral lists this non-coding RNA (41 nucleotides) under Plasmodium falciparum 3D7. The record is from RNAcentral. Lineage: Eukaryota; Apicomplexa; Aconoidasida; Haemosporida; Plasmodiidae.
UUCGCACGCACUUUGUGUUGGUGCUGGCGCAGGUGGUGGAG